GUCGAAUCGUCGAUGGUGUCGAUGGAUCCUCUUCGGGAAGCGUGUGGAGGCGACGAGAACGAGAGAACCGAUAAUCUGUCCAUCGGUGGAGAAACGGUGAGCGCCGCCGCAGGGGUUGGAUCCGAUGGAAAGCUCGGAAGCGGUGAGUUGAAAGCAGUGAAGGAAGAAUCGGACGCCGCGGCGACGGUUGAUGUUUCGUCGGAAGAGGUUUCCACUCCACAAGUGAUUAAAACCGAUCGGAUCGACGAAUUAGCCACCGAGAAUGGCGGCACGGUACGGUCUGAAAUAGACGGCGUCGGAGAAGCGGAAGGAGUUGCGGAAGAAGGGGAACCGCCUUCGAAAAGGCUGAAGCAGCUCACAGACAUUGGCGAAACCGAAAUCGGAAAGACCGAAGUUGCAAUGACGGAACUGCCUUCGUCGGCCGACGCAAUUCCUCCCACUUCCAGUUCUGCGAAACCGCCGGCGGCGAAAACGGGCAAGAAAUCGAAGAAGAAGAGCAAGGACGUGUGGGUGAGCACUUCCAGGAAGGGGAAGAAGAAGACCAAACAAGCAUCGAACAAUAUUAAAUCUAAUACUGCCCUCAACGGGGACGCAUCAGCUGGGCAAAAGCUGUUGAUUGCCCCAAUCGCUAGGUUACCCGACAGGAACGACGAUAGUCCAGAUUUGAAGAUAUGCGUUUCGAAAGUUCACAAGGCGGACAAGGUUGAUUUAAGCGAGGACAGAUUAACAGCGAGCAGCAUAAAGGGUUACAGAAUGGUGAGGGCGACGAGGGGAGUGGCAGCUGGUGCGUGGUAUUUCGAAAUCAAAGUGGAGUAUUUGGGGGAGACGGGGCACACGAGGCUGGGAUGGUCGACUGAGAAAGGGGACUUGCAGGCUCCUGUAGGGUUUGAUGCUAAUAGUUAUGGUUAUAGGGAUAUCGACGGCAGUAAAGUGCACAAGGCGUUGAGAGAGACGUAUGGUAGUGAAGGCUACAAGGAAGGUGAUGUUUUAGGAUUCUAUAUAAAUUUACCAGAUGGAGAUUCCUAUGCCCCUAAUCCGCCACGGUUGGUCUGGCACAAGGGGCAGCGCUAUGUUACUGCUCCCGACCCCAAGCAGGACCCCCCAAAAGUGGUGCCCGGAAGUGAGGUAUCUUAUUUCAGAAAUGGAGUAUGCCAGGGGGUUGCUUUCACAGAUCUCUAUGGUGGUCGAUACUACCCUGCUGCUUCUAUGUACACUCUCCCAAACUACCCCCCCUGUGUUGUGAAGUUCAAUUUUGGUCCUGAUUUUGAAUGCUUUCCUGAAGACUUCGGUGAACGACCUGUUCCAAGGCCUAUGAUUGAAGUUCCAUACCAGAGUUAUGAUAGCGCAGCUGAACAUGGUAAUCCAUGGAAUAUUAUCAGAAUGUGUCCUAUGCUCAAAGUAAAAGAGGAAAACUGUAAAAUUGUGAAAGGUGCUAAAAUGCUUGGUUAAGCUUGAGCUAGCACUCAGGAAUUGGUCUAGCUGCCAUUGCUGCUUCCAUUGGCAUCAAACAAUAUCAUUCGAGGAUGAACAAUGGCAUUGAACAAGAAAAUUUUGGACUUUCUUCGGCACCAACUAACAGAAACAUCAGCCAUAUUCAGGCUGUGUCCAAUUAGAUCCCUGUGGAGCACAAUUUAAAAGGUUAGCAUGCUUCAGUUAUUUGUUUUGUAUGGAAUUAGACAAUUAGUUGUGAAAAAUGAUUCUACUGAGAAUGUUGUGUUUACCUCAAUUAUAUGAAUCAC
Molecule: RNA transcript, 1739 nt
Organism: Andrographis paniculata
Lineage: Eukaryota; Viridiplantae; Streptophyta; Magnoliopsida; Lamiales; Acanthaceae
Gene name: protein TRAUCO-like
Exons: 5
Source: RefSeq, a predicted model, not a curated record